AUUAGCGCCAGGACCGUAAUUGGUUGACGAGGACGGCAGUUAUCGAGGGAUUCGGCGGAUGUUGCCGCGGCCACAGUGGGUCGUCAGAGAAUUGUAAAAAGCAGAAUCAAUACUGUAACAGAGCGGUU
RNAcentral lists this non-coding RNA (128 nucleotides) under bovine gut metagenome. Its description in RNAcentral is "glmS glucosamine-6-phosphate activated ribozyme". It matches the Rfam family "glmS glucosamine-6-phosphate activated ribozyme aptamer". Rfam says of the family: This entry contains a glucosamine-6-phosphate activated ribozyme that is found in the mRNA for GlmS. The record is from RNAcentral.